This 24-nucleotide non-coding RNA is filed under the name Arabidopsis thaliana (thale cress). Lineage: Eukaryota; Viridiplantae; Streptophyta; Magnoliopsida; Brassicales; Brassicaceae. The record is from RNAcentral.
ACCCAAAUGUUCGGGCAUAUUUUG